RNAcentral lists this ribosomal RNA (252 nucleotides) under uncultured Allobaculum sp. Its description in RNAcentral is "partial 16S ribosomal RNA". It matches the Rfam family "Bacterial small subunit ribosomal RNA", at positions 524 to 776 of the family's 1533-position model. Lineage: Bacteria; Bacillati; Bacillota; Erysipelotrichia; Erysipelotrichales; Erysipelotrichaceae. The record is from RNAcentral.
UACGUAGGUGGCGAGCGUUAUCCGGAAUGAUUGGGCGUAAAGGGUGCGUAGGCGGCCUGCUAAGUCUGGAGUGAAAGGUACCGGCUCAACCGGUACAGGCUCUGGAAACUGGCGGGCUAGAGAGCAGGAGAGGGCGGUGGAACUCCAUGUGUAGCGGUAAAAUGCGUAGAUAUAUGGAAGAACACCGAUGGCGAAGGCAGCCUCCUGGGACGCAACUGACGCUCAUACACGAAAGCGUGGGGAGCAAACAGG